This 562-nucleotide ribosomal RNA is filed under the name uncultured bacterium. Its description in RNAcentral is "partial 16S ribosomal RNA". It matches the Rfam family "Bacterial small subunit ribosomal RNA", at positions 355 to 1375 of the family's 1533-position model. The record is from RNAcentral.
UGGGGAAUAUUGCACAAUGGGCGAAAGCCUGAUGCAGCAACGCCGCGUGAGUGAUGAAGGCCUUCGGGUUGUAAAGCUCUGUCUUUUGGGACGAUAAUGACGGUACCAAAGGAGGAAGCCACGGCUAACUACGUGCCAGCAGCCGCGGUAAUACGUAGGUGGUAAGCGUUGUCCGGAUUUACUGGGCGUAAAGGAUGCGUAGGCGGAUUUUUAAGUGAGAUGUGAAAACCCUAAGCUUAACUUGGGGACUGCAUUUCAUACUGGAAAUCUAGAGUGCGGGAGAGGAGAAUGGAAUUCCUAGUGUAGCGGUGAAAUGCGUAGAGAUUAGGAAGAACACCAGUGGCGAAGGCGAUUCUCUGGACCGUAACUGACGCUGAGGCAUGAAAGCGUGGGUAGCAAACAGGAUUAGAUACCCUGGUAGUCCACGCCGUAAACGAUGAGUACUAGGUGUAGGAGGUAUCGACCCCUUCUGUGCCGCAGUUAACACAAUAAGUACUCCGCCUGGGAAGUACGAUCGCAAGAUUAAAACUCAAAUGAAUUGACGGGGUCAUAGCUGUUUCCU